This is a non-coding RNA of Streptococcus sanguinis SK36, 349 nucleotides long. It matches the Rfam family "transfer-messenger RNA". Rfam says of the family: Bacterial tmRNA, also known as 10Sa RNA or SsrA, is named for its dual tRNA and mRNA-like properties. Its role is to liberate the mRNA from a stalled ribosome. Lineage: Bacteria; Bacillati; Bacillota; Bacilli; Lactobacillales; Streptococcaceae. The record is from Rfam.
GGGGUCGUUACGGAUUCGACAGGCAUUAUGAGGCACAUUUUGCGACUCAUCUAGCGGAUGUAAAACGCCAGUUAAAUAUAACUGCAAAAAAUAACAAUUCUUACGCUUUAGCUGCCUAAAAACCAGCCAGCGUGACCCGAUUCGGAUUGCUUGUGUCUGAUGACAGGUCUUAUUAUGAGCAAGCUACGGCAAAGUCUAGUCUAGGGAUUUUGCAAGAGAUUGAUAGACUCGCUUGACUUGGGCUUGAGCUAUGUGUCAAAGUGAAGUUAAACCAAUACAUAGCCUAUGGUUGUAGACAAAUGUGUUAGCAGGUGUUUGGACGUGGGUUCGACUCCCACCGGCUCCAUUA